GGAUCCUCUUUGAAGCACAGAGUAGUUCCUUUAUUCAAUAACCUGGUUGUCAAUGAAACAUCUGAUGAGGUGGAAGCUGAAUUUCUUGAUCAUCAAUAUAUUUUGCCUCGAGAAAGUUGUUUCUACAUGCUAAAGCUAGUUCUGGCUUCAGUCUUAUUGUUAUUGAUCCACCAUGGGAAAAUGGAAGCGCUCAACAAAAAUCGAAGUAUCCUACAUUGCCAA
Molecule: unclassified non-coding RNA, 222 nt
Filed under: Hevea brasiliensis (rubber tree)
Lineage: Eukaryota; Viridiplantae; Streptophyta; Magnoliopsida; Malpighiales; Euphorbiaceae
Source: RNAcentral